GAUGAAGAACGCAGCGAAAUGCGAUAAGUAGUGUGAAUUGCAGAAUUCAGUGAAUCAUCGAAUCUUUGAACGCACAUUGCGCCCCUUGGUAUUCCAUGGGGCAUGCCUGUUCGAGCGUCAUUUGUACCUUCAAGCUUUGCUUGGUGUUGGGUGUUUGUCCCGAGGGACUCGCCUUAAAGUAAUUGGCAGCCAGUGUUUGGUUUUGAAGCGCAGCACAAGUCGCGAUUCAAGGCUACACGCCCGCUUCCACAAGCCUUUUUUCACUUUUGACCUCGGAUCAGGUAGGGAUACCCGCUGAACUUAAGCAUAUCAAUAAGCGGAGG
RNAcentral lists this unclassified non-coding RNA (323 nucleotides) under soil metagenome. RNAcentral describes it as "partial contains 5.8S ribosomal RNA, internal transcribed spacer 2, and large subunit ribosomal RNA". The stretch from base 1 to 120 matches the Rfam family "5.8S ribosomal RNA", at positions 35 to 154 of the family's 154-position model. The record is from RNAcentral.